UGCGUAGGUGGCGUGGUAAGUGGGGUGUGAAAUCCCGAGGCUUAACCUCGGGACUGCAUUCCAUACUGCCGUGCUUGAGGACUGGAGAGGAGACUGGAAUUUACGGUGUAGCAGUGAAAUGCGUAGAGAUCGUAAGGAAGACCAGUGGCGAAGGCGGGUCUCUGGACAGUUCCUGACACUGAGGCACGAAGGCCAGGGGAGCAAACG
Molecule: ribosomal RNA, 207 nt
Filed under: uncultured bacterium
Lineage: Bacteria
Description: partial 16S ribosomal RNA
Rfam family: Bacterial small subunit ribosomal RNA
Source: RNAcentral